UUGGAUUUUUGCAUCACAACUUUGCUGCCAUCACUCAAAACGUAGAGUUCUCAGCGGACACGUUUCUUCUUCAUCUUAUUAAUCAUCAUCUUCUUCUUCUUCUAAAUCUGCUGCUUCUUGUUCUUUUUGAUCGUCACCGUUUAUACUGUACAAAUCUCCAUCUCACUAGAUGAGCUUCGCGAAGAGGGAGUACGAGUUCCUGAAGGAAAUCGGGCUCGGGCCGCGAAAUCCGGGCUGCUACGUCAAUGGGGCUUGGCAAGGACACGGGCCCGUUGUUUCUUCUGUGAAUCCUGCUGAUAAUCAGCCGAUUGCUGAAGUUUCUGAGCAUCCAUUGGAGACUAUGAGGAUGGAAUGGAAGCAUGUGCUGAUUCACAAAGAUAUGGAUGCAG
This is a long non-coding RNA of Salvia splendens (bonfire salvia), 389 nucleotides long. RefSeq lists it as uncharacterized. The transcript is spliced from 3 exons. The record is from RefSeq and is a predicted model, not a curated record. Lineage: Eukaryota; Viridiplantae; Streptophyta; Magnoliopsida; Lamiales; Lamiaceae.